GUCAACAGCGGUUCGACUGAUUUUUAACCUCUUGGACAAGUCAACUUGGUUUCAAAGGGUUGGACCCUUGGGACAUGGACAUCCAGGCAGUGGGUGCCUCUGGAGGCAGGUCAUGGGCAUGAAAAGAUAGAUGGACAUUUAAGAUCCAUGGAGAGCAUCAUUGGUGCUGUUACACAAUGCAAGAAGAGAAAGCUUCAGUUUCUCAAGGACAAUGUUAAGUCGGUUCAUCAGCCAGCUUGACAUCCCAAACUCACCAUCACCCAGCAAGACUCAAGCUCUGAGCUGCACUGCAGACGAGCCAGGGGUGAGGUGCCCUAAUCUGGACUCUUCAGGCAUGGCUCCGCGCUGCAGGUUGAAUCCAGACCCUUAGCCAGCAGUCGAAGAAGGCUUUCACAUCAAGAGUUCCAAGCCCUUGUAAAGAGGUGACACUCAGCUCCUGAAGGAGGAUGACCCCUGGGCUUGUGCGAGGUUUGGCUGGAGUGAGCCAUUCUCAAAUGCUCAGCUGUCCUCACCUCUCUAUCUCCUUGUCUGACCCCUGUGAUUCAAGCUCGCUGACCCCCUGCCACACACACAUUCUUGCCCCAUGAUGUCUUAUCUUACACUCUUAGAACUGUCAUGCUGACAUGCCACCUCAAAGUUGUUGAAAAUGGACCACCUUGUUCCCCACUCUGCUUCUCACUGCCAUCAGCAAA
This 692-nucleotide long non-coding RNA is filed under the name Bos mutus (wild yak). RNAcentral's name for it is "lncRNA (ENSBMUG00000013677.1)". The record is from RNAcentral. Lineage: Eukaryota; Metazoa; Chordata; Mammalia; Artiodactyla; Bovidae.